This 1404-nucleotide ribosomal RNA is filed under the name uncultured bacterium. RNAcentral describes it as "16S ribosomal RNA". It matches the Rfam family "Bacterial small subunit ribosomal RNA". The record is from RNAcentral.
AGAGUUUGAUCCUGGCUCAGAUUGAACGCUGGCGGAACGCUUUACACAUGCAAGUCGAACGGUAACAGCGAGGAAAGCUUGCUUUUUUCGGCUGACGAGUGGCGAACGGGUGAGUAAUACAUCGGAACGUGUCCGCUCGUGGGGGACAACCAUCCGAAAGGAUGGCUAAUACCGCAUGAGUUCUACGGAAGAAAGAGGGGGACCUGCUUGCAGGCCUCUCGCGAGCGGAGCGGCCGAUGACUGAUUAGCCGGUUGGUGAGGUAACGGCUCACCAAAGCAACGAUCAGUAGCUGGUCUGAGAGGACGACCAGCCACACUGGGACUGAGACACGGCCCAGACUCCUACGGGAGGCAGCAGUGGGGAAUUUUGGACAAUGGGCGCAAGCCUGAUCCAGCUAUUCCGCGUGUGGGAUGACGGCCCUCGGGUUGUAAACCACUUUAGUAGAGAACGAAAAGGAGCUAUCGAAUAAAUAGCUCUGCUGACGGUACUCUAAGAAUAAGCACCGGCUAACUACGUGCCAGCAGCCGCGGUAAUACGUAGGGUGCGAGCGUUAAUCGGAAUUACUGGGCGUAAAGGGUGUGCAGGCGGCUGAGUAAGACAGAUGUGAAAUCCCCGGGCUUAACCUGGGAACCGCAUAUGUGACUGCUUGGCUAGAGUGCGUCAGAGGGAGGUGGAAUUCCACGUGUAGCAGUGAAAUGCGUAGAUAUGUGGAAGAACACCGAUGGCGAAGGCAGCCUCCUGGGACGCAACUGACGCUCAUACACGAAAGCGUGGGGAGCAAACAGGGUUAGAUACCCUGGUAGUCCACGCCCUAAACGAUGUCAACUAGUUGUUGGGGAUUAAAAUUCUCAGUAACGCAGCCAACGCGUGAAGUUGACCGCCUGGGAAGUACGGUCGCAAGACUAAAACUCAAAGGAAUUGACGGGGACCCGCACAAGCGGUGGAUGAUGUGGAUUAAUUCGAUGCAACGCGAAAAACCUUACCUACCCUUGACAUGUCAGAGAAGCUUUUGUAAUGAGAGUGUGCCCGCAAGGGCGUCUGAACACAGGUGCUGCAUGGCUGUCGUCAGCUCGUGUCGUGAGAUGUUGGGUUAAGUCCCGCAACGAGCGCAACCCUUGUCACUAGUUGCUACGAAAGGGCACUCUAGUGAGACUGCCGGUGACAAACCGGAGGAAGGUGGGGAUGACGUCAAGUCCUCAUGGCCCUUAUGGGUAGGGCUUCACACGUCAUACAAUGGUCGGAACAGAGGGCAGCCAACCCGUGAGGGGGAGCAAAUCCCAGAAAACCGAUCGUAGUCCGGAUUGCAGUCUGCAUCUCGACUGCAUGAAGUCGGAAUCGCUAGUAAUCGCGGAUCAGCAUGCCGCGGUGAAUACGUUCCCAGGUCUUGCACUCACCGCCCGUCA